This is a long non-coding RNA of Lytechinus pictus (painted urchin), 575 nucleotides long. RefSeq lists it as uncharacterized. NCBI's taxonomy places the organism in Eukaryota, Metazoa, Echinodermata, Echinoidea, Temnopleuroida, Toxopneustidae. The record is from RefSeq and is a predicted model, not a curated record. The transcript has 3 exons.
UGUGUCGAAGUCUUGAUCCCCCUUUCACUGGAACCUGGGCAGCUAAGGCCUUGUCAAGGAUCGAUGCGGGGCCCCCGUUGAGACCGCUUCAGGUGAUUGACACAAAGGUAUGAUGUUGGAUCUACACCAGCUGCGCUCUUCAUGACUUCUUGGACUCCCCUGUGAAAGUGUCCAUCACUAUCGCUAACAACACCUUUGACAAGUAGCUGCGUUUCAUCUCCAGAAUCAUCCAGUCCAUGUUUGAACACCCAGGGCUACAAUGUGAAUGCUGUUGGCAAGCUUCAUUGAUGGCCAUGGUGAGCUUCUCUACAUCAACAAUCCGAUGACCGACAGCUGAACCAUCAGUGGAUGUCAACAUUUUUGCCAGUGGUACAGAGUCUUCUGAUGUCUUUGGCCUGAGAAUCAUGGUUGUAGAAGAGCGACUGACAGGUUGAUCAUGCUUGUGAAGAAAGUUGCCACGCUCAUCACGGGACAUUGUGCGGUCCAAGUCCUCUCUUGUUAGACGUACAUAUUUGGUCUUGAGAAUACUGUUGGAAUUACCAGCUUCCCACUUCAGCCCCUUAUUCCAUGCUCUA